UCCGUAGGUGAACCUGCGGAGGGAUCAUUACACAAUAUGAAAGCGGGCUGGCAUCCUUCGGGGUUACAGCCUUGCUGAAUUAUUCACCCGUGUCUUUUGCGUACUUCUUGUUUCCUUGGUGGGUUCGCCCACCAUAGGACAAACCAUAAACCUUUUGUAAUUGCAAUCAGCGUCAGUAAAAAAAAUUAAUAAUUACAACUUUUAACAACGGAUCUCUUGGUUCUGGCAUCGAUGAAGAACGCAGCGAAAUGCGAUAAGUAGUGUGAAUUGCAGAAUUCAGUGAAUCAUCGAAUCUUUGAACGCACAUUGCGCCCUUUGGUAUUCCGGAGGGCAUGCCUGUUUGAGUGUCAUGAACACCUCACCCCCUCGGUUUCCGAUUGGGUGGAUUUGGGUGCUGCCAGUUACAUGGCUCGCCUUAAAACGCAUUAGCGGUUGUUGACGUAAUAAGUUUCGUCUUGUCGACCGCUUCUAAUCUCCUUCGGGAUGUCUUUCGGGACACUUCAUGAUCUGACCUCAAAUCAGGUAGGACUACCCGGCUGAACUUAAGGCAUAUCAAUAAGGCGGGAGGGGAAGGUCGACUGGCCAAGGGCACACAGGGGGGGAUA
Molecule: ribosomal RNA, 605 nt
Filed under: uncultured fungus
Lineage: Eukaryota; Fungi
Description: eukaryotic LSU rRNA
Rfam family: 5.8S ribosomal RNA (bases 197-350)
Source: RNAcentral